AUACAUUUAGCCGGAACUGGUUUUACACAGCCGUAAAGUAAGAGGGGAAUCGUGUGUCAAUCACGAACUGUCGCGCAACUGUAAGUAACCACUAAGGCUCUUUCAAUACAUUCACUGUAUGCGGUGCGUAUGGGAAGGAGGAAGAGCUGUUACAAGUCAGGAAACCUGCCACUCCGGGUAGACAAUG
Molecule: non-coding RNA, 187 nt
Filed under: Filimonas lacunae
Lineage: Bacteria; Pseudomonadati; Bacteroidota; Chitinophagia; Chitinophagales; Chitinophagaceae
Source: RNAcentral